UACUCUGGAGACAUCCAUUUGGAGGCCGAAGGUGCAAUGCGCAUGCAGAAUCUCUCAGGCAAAAGGACAGAGAAA
Molecule: non-coding RNA, 75 nt
Filed under: Floccifex porci
Lineage: Bacteria; Bacillati; Bacillota; Erysipelotrichia; Erysipelotrichales; Erysipelotrichaceae
Description: Glycine riboswitch
Rfam family: Glycine riboswitch aptamer
About the family: This family represents the bacterial glycine riboswitch. Glycine riboswitches usually consist of two metabolite-binding aptamers domains with similar structures in tandem. The aptamers cooperatively bind glycine to regulate the expression of downstream genes.
Source: RNAcentral